CUGAGAUGGCGCGGUCGAGGUUCCCCGGCGCGCGCCCGUCGCGCGCCGCGGGCUAAGAGGGAAUCCGGUGCAGCCGCGGCGACGCGGCGAAACCGGAGCUGCCCCCGCAACUGUGAGCGGCGAGCCGCCAUCCGGGAUGCCACUGGCGCGACCUCGCGCCGGGAAGGCGGAUGGCGGCCGUGACCCGCGAGCCAGGAGACCUGCCUCGACCGCAUAACGUCC
This 222-nucleotide non-coding RNA is filed under the name Teichococcus deserti. The record is from RNAcentral. RNAcentral also lists the same sequence under 1 other name. Lineage: Bacteria; Pseudomonadati; Pseudomonadota; Alphaproteobacteria; Acetobacterales; Roseomonadaceae.